CAUGCAAGUCGAACGGCAGCACGGGCUUCGGCCUGGUGGCGAGUGGCGAACGGGUGAGUAAUACAUCGGAACGUACCCAGAAGUGGGGGAUAACGCAGCGAAAGUUGCGCUAAUACCGCAUACGUUCUACGGAAGAAAGUGGGGGAUCUUCGGACCUCAUGCUUUUGGAGCGGCCGAUGUCUGAUUAGCUAGUUGGUGGGGUAAAGGCUCACCAAGGCGACGAUCAGUAGCUGGUCUGAGAGGACGACCAGCCACACUGGAACUGAGACACGGUCCAGACUCCUACGGGAGGCAGCAGUGGGGAAUUUUGGACAAUGGGCGCAAGCCUGAUCCAGCAAUGCCGCGUGAGUGAAGAAGGCCUUCGGGUUGUAAAGCUCUUUUGUCAGGGAAGAAACGGUUCCGGCUAAUAUCCGGGGCUAAUGACGGUACCUGAAGAAUAAGCACCGGCUAACUACGUGCCAGCAGCCGCGGUAAUACGUAGGGUGCAAGCGUUAAUCGGAAUUACUGGGCGUAAAGCGUGCGCAGGCGGUUUUGUAAGUCUGUCGUGAAAGCCCCGGGCUCAACCUGGGAAUUGCGAUGGAGACUGCAAGGCUUGAAUCUGGCAGAGGGGGGUAGAAUUCCACGUGUAGCAGUGAAAUGCGUAGAGAUGUGGAGGAACACCGAUGGCGAAGGCAGCCCCCUGGGUCAAGAUUGACGCUCAUGCACGAAAGCGUGGGGAGCAAACAGGAUUAGAUACCCUGGUAGUCCACGCCCUAAACGAUGUCUACUAGUUGUCGGGUUUUAAUUAACUUGGUAACGCAGCUAACGCGUGAAGUAGACCGCCUGGGGAGUACGGUCGCAAGAUUAAAACUCAAAG
This 856-nucleotide ribosomal RNA is filed under the name Massilia sp. RNAcentral's name for it is "bacterial SSU rRNA". It matches the Rfam family "Bacterial small subunit ribosomal RNA", at positions 54 to 906 of the family's 1533-position model. Lineage: Bacteria; Pseudomonadati; Pseudomonadota; Betaproteobacteria; Burkholderiales; Oxalobacteraceae. The record is from RNAcentral.